This 85-nucleotide transfer RNA is filed under the name Echinostoma caproni. It matches the Rfam family "tRNA". Rfam says of the family: Transfer RNA (tRNA) molecules are approximately 80 nucleotides in length. Their secondary structure includes four short double-helical elements and three loops (D, anti-codon, and T loops). The record is from Rfam by way of RNAcentral. Lineage: Eukaryota; Metazoa; Platyhelminthes; Trematoda; Plagiorchiida; Echinostomatidae.
GGCCUCGUAGCUCAGCUGGUAGAGCAUGCGCCCACAAAGCGUAGGCGGCGUCCAUGCCUGAUGAGUUCGAAUCCCACCGAGGCUG